This 422-nucleotide ribosomal RNA is filed under the name uncultured Glomeromycotina. RNAcentral describes it as "SSU rRNA". It matches the Rfam family "Eukaryotic small subunit ribosomal RNA", at positions 672 to 1092 of the family's 1831-position model. The record is from RNAcentral. Lineage: Eukaryota; Fungi; Glomeromycota.
GGUAUGCACUGGCUUCGCUGAUUCCUCCUUUCUGAAGAACUGUAAUGCCAUUAAUUUGGUGUUGCAGGGAAACAGGACUGUUACUUUGAAAAAAUUAGAGUGUUUAAAGCAGGCUAACGCUUGAAUACAUUAGCAUGGAAUAAUGAAAUAGGACGUUCAAACCUAUUUUGUUGGUUUCUAGGAUUGACGUAAUGAUUAAUAGGGAUAGUUGGGGGCAUUAGUAUUCAAUUGUCAGAGGUGAAAUUCUUGGAUUUAUUGAAGACUAACUACUGCGAAAGCAUUUGCCAAGGAUGUUUUCAUUAAUCAAGAACGAAAGUUAGGGGAUCGAAGACGAUCAGAUACCGUCGUAGUCUUAACCAUAAACUAUGUCGACUAAGGAUCGGAUGAUGUUAAUUUUUUAAUGACUCAUUCGGCGCCUUACG